GGGGUCUAUCUUUCUUUUCAGUUCGUAUAAAUCUUUUGCCUUUUGCUAAAGAUUUCUGUGGUGGGAUUAUCCCAUGUCUCGUAAUCAAAAUGUCUUCUUCAGUGACUCUUGUAUUUUUGA
This is a small nuclear RNA of Gopherus evgoodei (Goodes thornscrub tortoise), 120 nucleotides long. Its record names the gene U5. It matches the Rfam family "U5 spliceosomal RNA". From Rfam's summary of the family: U5 RNA is a component of both types of known spliceosome. The precise function of this molecule is unknown, though it is known that the 5' loop is required for splice site selection and p220 binding, and that both the 3' stem-loop and the Sm site are important for Sm protein binding and cap methylation. The record is from Ensembl. Lineage: Eukaryota; Metazoa; Chordata; Testudines; Testudinidae.